GACGAACGCUGGCGGCGUGCUUAACACAUGCAAUUCGAACGGAAAUGCCCUGCUUUUGUGGGGUGCUCGAGUGGCGAACGGGUGAGUAACACGUGAGUAACCUGCCCUUGACUUUGGGAUAACUUCAGGAAACUUGGGCUAAUACCGGAUAGGAGCUCCUGCUGCAUGUUGGGGUUUGGAAAGUUUCGGCGGUUGGGGAUGGACUCGCGGCUUAUCAGCUUGUUGGUGGGGUAGUGGCUUACCAAGGCUUUGACGGGUAGCCGGCCUGAGAGGGUGACCGGCCACAAUGGGACUGAGAUACGGCCAAGACUCCUACGGGAGGCAGCAGUGGGGAAUAUUGCACAAUGGGCGGAAGCCUGAUGCAGCAACGCCGCGUGCGGGAUGACGGCCUUCGGGUUGUAAACCGCUUUCGCCUGUGACGAAGCGUGAGUGACGGUAAUGGGUAAAGAAGCACCGGCUAACUACGUG
RNAcentral lists this ribosomal RNA (468 nucleotides) under uncultured bacterium. RNAcentral's name for it is "partial 16S ribosomal RNA". It matches the Rfam family "Bacterial small subunit ribosomal RNA", at positions 28 to 507 of the family's 1533-position model. The record is from RNAcentral.